Molecule: ribosomal RNA, 403 nt
Filed under: uncultured bacterium
Lineage: Bacteria
Description: bacterial SSU rRNA
Rfam family: Bacterial small subunit ribosomal RNA
Source: RNAcentral
GGGGAAUAUUGCACAAUGGGGGAAACCCUGAUGCAGCGACGCCGCGUGAAGGAAGAAGGUUUUCGGAUCGUAAACUUCUAUCAGCAGGGAAGAAGAAAGUGACAGUACCUGACUAAGAAGCCCCGGCUAACUACGUGCCAGCAGCCGCGGUAAUACGUAGGGGGCAAGCGUUAUCCGGAAUCACUGGGUGUAAAGGGUGCGUAGGCGGUAGGGCAAGUCAGAUGUGAAAGCCCGGGGCUCAACUCCGGGACUGCAUUUGAAACUGUUCUACUAGAGUGCAGGAGAGGAAAGCGGAAUUCCUAGUGUAGCGGUGAAAUGCGUAGAUAUUAGGAAGAACACCAGUGGCGAAGGCGGCUUUCUGGACUGUAACUGACGCUGAGGCACGAAAGCGUGGGGAGCGAAC